This is a long non-coding RNA of Cavia porcellus (domestic guinea pig), 3578 nucleotides long. RefSeq lists it as uncharacterized. The record is from RefSeq and is a predicted model, not a curated record. Lineage: Eukaryota; Metazoa; Chordata; Mammalia; Rodentia; Caviidae. The transcript is spliced from 5 exons.
CAUACAAUGUAAGGGAGGGAAGGAUGUGUGUAUUUCCCUUGUUCCCUUUUAGGUCCUGUCACUUGCAGCUGCCAUGAUAGUUGCCCUCAGUCAUGCCACCCUGCUUUCCAACCAGCUCAGAAUGGACUGAGACCUCCAAAAAAACGUCCCCCAAGGUUGGAAAGUAUCGAGGACAUGAGAGAACCUCUGCAGAAACAUCCCAUAACUUGGUGAGUCUCUGGUCUUCUAAUGAAAGGAUAGUGAGACCACAGAUGGAGGUGAUCAGUGAUGUGGAUUGUGCCUAAGACAGGCGGGUCUGAGAAUUCGAUCUGUGCAGCAAAGUCCCUAAUCUAGUGCAGAAAAAAAAAUAUGAGAAUAUGAAUGAAAUUCUUGGAUAUUGGCUAUGUGGAUCAAGACAUAUUAACAGAUAUCAACACAUUCAUUUAACAAUUAUGAAGGAAAUUGUGUUUUUGAAUUUGAGAAAAAGACAGCAAGCAUACUCAAGUGUGAAACCCAAAUGCAUAGCAGAACUAAGCAGCACUGCACUCCUGACUGCUGGGUAGAGACCCCAGUGACCCGAGGAGCAGUGCCGGCCUCUUCCGAGUCUCAGUGGUCCUUAACCCCAAGAACCUCAGGAGCUGCAUGGGUUGGGCCAGUGGACUGAUUGUGCAAGUCAUUGUGUGAAGAGACUUUGGUGUGACUUUCCAUAUGGCUGCAGUUCACAGCUGGUGUUAGUGAGUGAAGUGACUGAGGCAGAUGGGAAUAAAGGGGAUUCAGGACAGGAUUUGGAGCUGCUUCGAUCCUGGGGUAUCUGGGGAUGCUGCUGCUGGAUGCUGAGCAAAAUGUUGAGGUCACUGGAUAAUUCCAAGGACAGAGUCUUGUCCAGUGCCUGGUGAUGAGAUUCUCGGCUUUUAUUCCUGGCUGGAGCACCUCCCCAGUGAUAUUGUCCUUCUCUCCUCCUGAUUGGGGAUUGUUCGCUUUGGUUGUUUGGGUAAUUUUAUUCCUUCCAGGUUUCUCCCAGUAAGAUUUCCAUUUGUUUUUCCUAAAGAAUAAUUGAUUUGUAGCAGGAAACUUGAGUCAGUGUAAUACCAUGGUCCUAAGUGAAUGUGUAGUUCCCAUUUUAAGACCACUGUGUUACAGUGAUCUCAGUUUGUCAAAUGUUACAGUAACUUUGGAUUUACCCUUGAAUCAGAUAACAGAGUGGCAUUCAGAGAGUAGAGGGAGCUGUUUGCUCUGCCAACAGGCUCUAAAGAGUUCAGCACCCCCAGACCUGGGUCCCAAAUAUGGGCUAGAGGAGUUGUUACAUAGAGUUUCUGGCAGGAAAGGCAGAGUUGAACAAAAGCAGGUACUCAAAGGUGACAGGUUUACAGCUUUCCACUCCUGGUUGGCCUUGGCUGGCCAGGCAAUCAUGUAACAAGGGGCUGUGAAGCUUGUGCAUUAAGGGAGGAUGGUGAGGAAACUGCUGCACUCUUGUGGUUAAAAGAUAGAUAAUGUAAGAGCAUAACUAUACCUGGUGCACAGGGCUCAGUCUGGGUUGAGUUCUUAGAGCAGGAGGUCUCAGAGUGGUCUGUUUUUCUGUCUCACUGAUAGUUACAUUAUAGGAAAAGCUUUCUUUUUCUGCCCCUAGAUGUGUUCAUUUGCAUUUGAAUACUAUUGUUCUUGGUGUCCUUUUGCUUUAAAAAAAAAAAAACAAAAGAAUGAGGUUGAUCCUUCCAAGGGUCCCUUCUGCAACAAUACUCAGGCAUGUCGGGGAUUUCUUUUACUUUCUUGCAUUCUUGUAUCAAUAUCCAGUUUUCUCCAGCACAGUAUUUUUCUUGGCUAUAAUAGUCUGUUCUCUUCACUUAACGGUAUGUCCUGGAAACACUCCAGGCAAAGGCAACUUUCUCCUUUUUUACAAAGGCAAAUUCCUCUCUGUUGAGCAUGAAUUUAAUUGAUUCCAUGAACUUUUGGUGACAUUUUAGCCUUCUUUCCAAACAGUCCACAAGUGCAAACAGUGUUUCUAUUAGUAAACUAGGGUAUGAAAUUUUAUAUUGUUGAAGAUUCCUUUUCUGUUCUUUGAAUAUAUAUUUUGGGGAAUACACAUUCUGUUUUGGUGGAUAUUGACUUUUCCCCUUAGUAUAAAUUCUCCAGUGUUGCAUUUCUGCCAACAGCACCAAGACCUGACUAUCAUAAUAAUUACUAAAAGCAGUAGGUAAAGCGUUCUAACUUUAUCAAAAAAUAAUGUUGUACUUUUUUGAUAUUUAAUUUUCUACUUCUCUUUGACAUAGGUAAAUAUGAAUACCUUUUGAUAGGUAAAGGUGCCCUUUUAAACCUAUUAAUUAUAGUUCAUAUCCUUUGCCACUUGUCUAUUCUUAUUAAUUAAAAUUGAUGUGUGUAUGUGCUUGUGGAUCAAUGUUACUUUCAUAUGUACUACAUAAUUAUAAAAUGAUAUAUGGAAUUAUAUAUUUUGAAAUUGUAUUGUAAUUGUAUAUGGUAAUUGUAUAUAAUUUCUUAAGCAAUAUAUAAUUUUCUAUUUUGGCUUGGUCUUCUUUUCUCUGUGUGUGUACCAUGUGAAUUAAUGUCUAUUUUAUGUUGCUCAAUUUACAGUAUCUUCUUGUUACCUCAUUUUCUUUCCUAAUGAUAGAUUCAAAGUAACUGCUUAUGAUUAUGUUACAAUGGAAUUAGCUGUAAUUCACUAUUUUUUGGUAUACUUUAUUCAUUUGGAGUUUAAUCGAAUGGGCUGUAAGGCAAGUUUGUGAAUUUAAAUAGCAGUUGUCUCAUGAAAGCUGUUAUUACAAAAUGAAGAGCUCAGGUUGUGACCUGUACAUGAUUAGGCAUGGUGACAUAGACGUCCGUGUUACCCUCUACAGGUAACUCAACCAUGCAUCCUGGUGCUGAUGCUGAAGAUGAUGGUGACAGCAGUGUGGAUGUGGUCGUGGUGAUGAUAGUGCUGAUUGGUGAUGGUGGUAGCGAUGAUUGAAGAGAUAUGUAGUAGCUAUUGUUGUAUAUGAAAGGAAAAUUGUGAGACUUAGAUGUUGUUUUUAUUUUUUGCAUCUUUUAAAAUUAAUGUGUAUUGAUUUGUAAUAGCUAAAUCUUGGAAAGCACCCAAUGCUCAUCAAACAAAAAAAAUGUAAAAAAAAGAUGUGGUCUGUUUAUACAGUGGACUACUACUAGACCACACAGAAGGAUAAAUUUAAGACAUUUAUAGGUAAAUGGAUGUAACCAGAGACCAGUCAAAUAAAUUAGACUCACAUGUCUAAAUAUUGUAUUGUCUCCCUGGUUUGGGGAGCGGAAAGCAUAAAAUGAUAUUGUGAAAUGUGAAGAAAUUGUUCAAAAGAAUAGUAAACUAGGAUGGGAAAAAGGAGAUAGGAGGGAAAGGAAAAGAAGAAAGCAAAAAUAAAGUACAAAAUAGUUAUGCUGGUAGUUUCUCUUAGUUCACUAAAAAGAAAGUUUUGUGCUAAUAUCGUUUGGAGAAUGUUUAUGCCCAUGCCUUGUACUCUGAUUAGUUACAUUAAAAUAAUAAUAUGUAAUGCACUAACCAUCAUUAUUCUCCUACUACUUUGCUAUGAAGUUGUAUUUUACUGUUUUCCGUACAAUAAAAAAUAAAGAAAAAUAAAUUA